CGCCUGGGGAGUGCGGCCGCAAGGUUAAAACUCAAAUGAAUUGACGGGGGCCCGCACAAGCGGUGGAGCAUGUGGUUUAAUUCGACGCAACGCGAAGAACCUUACCUGGCCUUGACAUCCAGAGAGCUUUCCAGAGAUGGAUUGGUGCCUUCGGGAACUCUGAGACAGGUGCUGCAUGGCCGUCGUCAGCUCGUGUCGUGAGAUGUUGGGUUAAGUCCCGUAACGAGCGCAACCCCUAUCCCUGGUUGCUAGCAGGUAAUGCUGAGAACUCCAGGGAGACUGCCGGUGACAAACCGGAGGAAGGUGGGGAUGACGUCAGGUCAUCAUGGCCCUUACGGCCAGGGCUACACACGUGCUACAAUGGCGCGUACAGAGGGCUGCCAACUCGCGAGAGUGAGCCAAUCCCUUAAAACGCGUCGUAGUCCGGAUCGGAGUCUGCAACUCGACUCCGUGAAGUCGGAAUCGCUAGUAAUCGCGAAUCAGAAUGUCGCGGUGAAUACGUUCCCGGGCCUUGUACACACCGCCCGUCACACCAUGGGAGUGGAUUGCACCAGAAGUAGUUAGUCUAACCUUCGGGAGGACGAUUACCACGGUGUGGUUCAUGACUGGGGGUGAAGUCGUAACAAGGUAACCGUA
Molecule: ribosomal RNA, 636 nt
Filed under: uncultured Marinobacter sp.
Lineage: Bacteria; Pseudomonadati; Pseudomonadota; Gammaproteobacteria; Pseudomonadales; Marinobacteraceae
Description: bacterial SSU rRNA
Rfam family: Bacterial small subunit ribosomal RNA
Source: RNAcentral